UACGUAGGGUGCAAGCGUUGUCCGGAUUUAUUGGGCGUAAAGAGCUCGUAGGCGGUUCGGCAAGUCGGGUGUGAAAUUUCGAGGCUCAACCUCGAAACGCCACUCGAUACUGCUGUGACUGGAGUCCGGUAGAGGAGUGCGGAAUUCCUGGUGUAGCGGUGAAAUGCGCAGAUAUCAGGAGGAACACCAACGGCGAAGGCAGCACUCUGGGCCGGUACUGACGCUGAGGAGCGAAAGCGUGGGGAGCAAACAGG
Molecule: ribosomal RNA, 254 nt
Filed under: uncultured bacterium
Lineage: Bacteria
Description: partial 16S ribosomal RNA
Rfam family: Bacterial small subunit ribosomal RNA
Source: RNAcentral